Molecule: long non-coding RNA, 22599 nt
Filed under: Ananas comosus (pineapple)
Lineage: Eukaryota; Viridiplantae; Streptophyta; Magnoliopsida; Poales; Bromeliaceae
Description: long non-coding RNA (ACOM_LNC014792)
Source: RNAcentral
AAAAAUUAAGUGGCAUCCCAUUCUUGGCCGUUUCUAAUUCCAUUUUAAGAACUUAUAUGCUUGCUUAAUUCUAGCUUGUAUUCGUGGGAAAUUAACUGCCUAGCAAUCAGAUUGCUGCAAUGGCAGGAAAGACAUUAACAAGAUAAGUAAAGCACGCACACACUUAAGUUUUAAAGUUUAGUCUCUGUUGUUGGGGCGACUCUUCUUGUUGACAGUUGUUCUAACUUCUAUUAAGUUGUCUUCACUACACUGAUUUUGUAUAUGUACAUAGUAAUUAUAUACCUUAAUCUUGUGAGAUAACUAGAAACCAACAUCAAGAGCAGCUUGUUUCCAGAGGCAUCUUUGUGGUCCAUGGACUGCAUACUUAAGAAAAGUACUAUAAUCUAAAUACUUAGGAAACCAAGAACACUAGUCAUGCUGCAUUAAAAUUAUAUAACAGUAGGCCAAAAUAAAAAUAAAAGCUAUUAGCUUUAGGUAGAAAACUGAAGUAGGAGAAAGCAAAGUUAGCAAAAUUAGCAACAAAAGACAAUAAGAGCUAUUAGCUUGCUACUUAAUGAUCAAAACAUACAAAUGGUGAUUGUUUAUGUUAAAUGUUAACCUGGUUCAUCUUUCUAACAUAAAAUGAGAUUUGAAUGGAUAUAGAAAUAAAUUUGAAGCAAAGUUUAUUUGACAUAAAGAAUGUUGUUGAAUUGGUCUAAUAUAAAUGACAAGAAACAGUACCACGAAGCAAGUCAGAGACAACAGGUACAAAAUGCCAAAGAUAAACUUUAGAGUGUAGUACAUAUGAUAAUUGACAGAGGAAAAAAUCUCAAACCAAAGUGGAAAUUAUUAUGCUCGUAUCAUAUGAUUGUAACCGCUGCCAUACCAUAUUCUAUACUAUCAAGAGUUGACAUCUUUAGGUAUAGAGAACAUAUCAAAUUAACAUCUCAUGCCCAUAUGCUUAAUUCUUAGCUCUAACAAGAAAGUAGAGAUAUUAUUGCAAUAAUAUAUUUGUUAAUAAUUUAUGCUUUUUGUAUAUGAUACGACUAACACAUUCUUAGCAGGACAAUGGGAAUAGACAAAAGUUGGAUAAUCAUCCAAGAUAGAUCUCUUAUCGAAUAUGAAAUCAGUGCUGAUGCAUUCUUGGAUUAUGCUUUCAAUCAACUAGGAGAUGUUAGAAGAAUUCAUUGCCAUCAACUAGGAGAUGCUAGUAUUGCCGGUAUGUUCUAUAGAUUCAUUUGUUCAAUUCUGCUACUAUUGCCGGUAUGUAUCUAUAGAUUUCAUUUCUAAUUUAAAGUAUAUUACUUGUUGAUACUUAAUAUAUCUAUUAUGGUUGGAAUAAUAUAUUGUAUUUUUUUUUCUUCAAGGUUGUCACGCCCCGCGCCCCGAGGCCGCUACCGAUUUGGCACGGUUCGGGCGCGGCAGGCGGACCGCCGAAUGGACAGCACCUCCCCUGUCCGCCCAAGGCUAAACAACGAGAUCAUGUACAACAAGUCCCCAGAAAAUCAACUUGAAUACAUACAUGAUCAUGCAACAACAGCGAGAGCACAAACAGUGCUGAACAAUACAAGAGCAAGCGUCACAAGUAGAAGACAUACAAGUGAAACAAAAGAGAGAUACUUAACUAUUCUAUUACAACCAUUCAGCUCGAUACAUUUAAUUACAACUUGCAUUCUUUUCCAAACUAUGAAUAUAAGCUUACAUUCUUCAAAAGAUAAACAUUAGUUUACAUUUAUCUCAAAAUACCUCACAUCCUAUACAUCAUCUACUCUCAAUACAUGUAUAGGGUAACUCUAAUGCAAAAUAGGAAAGUAAACUAUCAACUAGCACUAGGGCGCUAAGCCCAUAACGCGAUCCUCUGCCGAUCCGCUCUCGUGUGUACCUGUACCCCAAAACCACACGGGGUGAGAACUAUAUAAAUAUAGUUCCCAGUGGGUUCGGCCGCCGACUCCGCCGAUCUUCCCACUAGGUCCAAGCUGGCACAGAUAGAUAGAUAGAAAGAUAUAUGGAAAUACUACUACUAUAUCUACUAUGCCAUCAAAUGCAAAGUAUGCAUGGAACAUCAUCUAGCAACAAUCUACUAUCAUGCUAAUAUGCCUCAACAGUGAAAUGAAUACAACUAUAACAUAGUUAUGCAAUGCACUAUGUCUAAUCAAGGUAUGAAUGCAAUACUCUUAUGCUAUUCAUGUUAUUACCCAAUCCGCUAGGCUAACUUGCCUAAGAUCUCAAAUCUAGUAGGUGAAGAGCUACCUCAUUCUUGUCUCACUCGACUCAUAUCUCAAAGGUCCAUAGGCAAAGGCUACCCCGCACUUUGCCCGACUCAUAUCUCAAUCCUAGCUAAGGUACUCAGCUACUCCACUCAAAUCUCAUAGGUGAAGGAAUAGUAUACUCACUCACUGUAUAUAGGCAAAUCUGCUAAACCAACUACCAAGCGACUAUGCUCGCUAUCAAGGUAAGUCUAGUGAAGGUUAACUACCAUACCACUAGGUUCAUCAAUAGGGCUAUUCAUUAGACCACCCAAUCAGCCGGUAAGCCAAAGGCAACUAUGAUCAACAACAACAACUAUGGAAGCAAGCUAUCGUGAACAACAACAAUGGGUAUGGCUCAAUAGGUAACCCAAUCUCAAGGUGAACUCGUGGUUCACAAGCAAGGCUCACAUAUCAAUCUCCUAGGGAUGUCGAGCUGGACUAUCCCCGAGUACGCCUGCGGAUAACAAGCGGCUAUCCGAGCAGCAAGCACGGCUGCCUCUCUAGUGACCAAACUCCGGAGCGCACAACCUGGGGGGAGCGACCCCACCAAGCGCAGACAGGCAAUGUGAGCGUGAUCAUCUCACGAGCAACAGCAACCUACCCUCUAAGGGUAAUCUCAUCAUGGAAUCAAGGUGUUCUUGUACCCAAUCUCAUAGUGUUUCAACUACACUAAGGUUCUCAUGUCAAGGUUAUCAACAAUCAUAUGCCACUCAUCAUAGUUUUCUAAACUAGAUGCCACUCGUCAUUUAGACUCAUUUCAAUACUAGUUACAUCAUACUAGUUCUUUAGCAACAUAAGCAUUAAACAUCUCAUAUAGGAUCUAGGUCUUUAUUGUAGGGUUUUCAUCAUGUAAUCAUCAUGCAUACUAGAUCAUGGAACAAUCAUCAAGAUGUAUAGCUACUAGCAUGCAAAUAUGAGCAAUGACCAUAAUCAUCUAGCACCUAAGUGCAAUAAAUACAAUAUGCAACUUAAUCGAUUAAUGCAUUCAACAAGUUUAACCCACAUUAAUCAUGCCCUUAUAGGGUUUCACCACACUAAGUCCUAAUCUCAUGCAUACUAGGUACAAGUAUUAAUCAAGUAACACUACACUCUCACUAGCAUGCCAUGACAUGUAACAAUUGCCAACUAGUACCCUAUAAUGCAAUAUCCCAAUAUGCAACUUGAUCAAUGUUACUAGAGUUUCUAGUGCAACAACCAAUCCAUUACUAGCUCAAGUCAUAUGUGUUUUUAGCACAAUGAGUUCAAUGCCACUUGUAAACUAUGUCUUUAAACACAACACUAGGUUCUUCUUUCAUUUAGCAUCAUAGGUUUACCAAUGUCAUCUCAUAAUCCUUAUGUCCAUUACAUCAUAUAUCCAUAUCAUAAUACUAUAUUGAUCAUAAACAUCAUAUAAGGAUUAGGAAUGCAUGUAUUGUCAUCCUAUAAUGCAAGGUAUCGAUAUACAAUAUGCUACAUGUGAAUGGAUAAGCAUUAAGACAUAGGAAGAAGCUCGAUUGCUUCGGGAUGGCACUCCCCCACCUUUUAUCGCGUUCCGAUUGCUUGUUGUCACUUGCAAUCGGCCUCCCGCGGCGCACGACGCUCGGCUCGACCCAAUACGCGCGCGACCACCAAACGACCUCCGAUCCGCAAUCCGAAAAUUAAAGGUCUUCGGUUUCUUGGUACGAUGCUUCAAAUCCGUUUUCAGAAUUUUACGACGUCGCCUCGGCCCUCCAGGCGGAAACGAAGCCUAACGUCCGUUUCUUUAAUAACUUUGUACCGGCUCGACGAAUCGCCGAACCGUCGCUUCCAACGCGUUCGUAGACCUAGCAAUUAGGUUUACGAAUGGUCAAAUGAGAUCAAACCCUCAUAUCUUGAAAGUUAGCAUUUUGAGCCCUAGGUUUACAACUAUGCAAGAAAUCAUUAAAUUGCUCUAUGAUUCAAGCAUUAAUCAUCUAUUAGGCAUCAAUGGGUUCCACUAAAACCAUUUCCAAAGCAUUUAGACCUAUCUUUAGAGAUCUACCAUUAAAGCCCUCAUUUUGGAGCUCUAUGUUGCAAUAGGUAAAAAUCCACCAUUAGAACUUAGGAUCUAAGCAUAAAUCAUCUACUUAGCAUCUAGGAAAGCUACUAAUUCGUUUCUAGAGCUUAAAACCCAAGCAAUAGAGAAAUGCCAUUAAAGCUCUUAAAGCUUACCUUCAAAGCAUGCUCCAAUGGAGAGGAAGAAGAUGAAGUUGAUGAAGAUCAACUUCCAAGCUUACUUCUCCACCAAAACCAUCCAUUUUGGGAGAGAUUUAGAGAGAGAAAAUGGAGGCUUCUCUUUUUCCCUCUUUCCAUGCGUGUGUGGUGUGGCGUGUGCGUGUGUGGUGUGUGGCCGAAGGAGAAGAAGAAGCAUCUGAUGCUUCUUCAUAAUACCCCUCAAAACACUAUUCAUCCCGGGCAGCUUGAAAUCUGAUAUUUUUCGCCGGAGCUCCCUGAAUGUCCGUUUGAGCUCAAACUUGACAGUCAUGUUCGGUUUUACAUAACUUAACAAGCUGACGAUCACUGGUUCAGUUUCGACCCCGUUUGGUCACUGAAAACUGUACCGAACAGCAAUCUUUAUCAGAUAGCUUUCGGAUUUUAUUUCUCACUCUACGGGUGUCAGAAAAAUAUGAAACCUUAAAUCUAGCCUCAUAAAAAUAUUUCUGACAUCUCUGCCAAUUUUCAUAAUUUUCUGAGACUGUGCAUUUUCUGCUAAUUUAUCUGCCCCGUUUCCAACAGAAAAUUCUAAAUCUUCUGUUUUAAUUCCGAUUUCAGCACAGGUCAUUCCCAACUUAUAUUUCACUUUUCUAAAUUCAAUAAAAAUAGUAUCUCAUACUAUUUUUAUUUAUUUCUAUUUUUAUAUUUGAAUCCGGUAUAUUACAUUACACCGCAACCUUACCGGAACCAUUCAAAUAGCUCUCCAACCAAAUGGACACCGUAACCUCAUGAUUUUAGAAGUCCGGUACCUUACAAAGGUGAUGGUCAGAGCUUCAACAUUACGUACUACGGUGGGUUCAAGCGCCUCUUCGUCAUGGGCAACGACAACACCAAGUCAUGUUGGGCCGUCUUCAAUUGGGUCUGAUUUACCUUCAUCCCUCCCUGAUACAGCAGGUAAGAUAAUCGCAUUUUCAGAUCAACUAAGUCCAGGUUCUGAAAUAGAUGAUUUUAUUUGUCUUUUGCAUAGUAGACUCAAGAUUCAGAUCAACUAAGUCGUGGUGUUCCUUCUUUGCCAUUCCCAAAAACACUAACAACUUUCUCAUUGAUGUCCUCCACAAUAGUUUCGUCAUACAACAUACACAAUACUACAGCUUCUACUGUUUGGGUCCCGAAAGCUUAUUUUGGCUCACUUCCGAUCCAUUUUGCUUGUCAAAGUUUUCGGAGAAGAAAAGUUGUUCAAUCUUUUCCAAACUGCAAACCCUUUUUACGAUUACCCUUGCCAAUUGAUUUAUAGUUUGCUCUGUAAUCAGAGUAACGGCCUAUUUAAAACUUAGGAGAGAAGCUUCUAAGUCAUAAAAUAUCUCAAUGGUGCUCUACACAUGCAUCUUGCCUACAAACAGGGCAAGAUCCAUGUCUCGCUAGCUUUAGAAAUUCGGUCCCUUUGCCUUGUCUUGAAAACCUCUAAAUUGUCUUCAAUAUUUGCAAUGAUUUUUCAAGUUUUUUCAGAAUUUUUUGAAUAGUAAUAUCAGUUACACAUUCAUGGAUAACUUCUAUUUCCUAUUAACAAGUUGACGAAAACCAACUAUUGAUCUAAGCAGUUCAUGAACUUAGAUGGUAACAGAAAAGUAGCUGCUGCAUCUCGAUGGUUACAGUUUGAUACCUGAUGAGUUUAGUUUGGACUGCAGUGAGUGCUAAAAUUGCUGAAAAUUGCAGAAAAGUAGUUUGGAGUGUAGUGUAGUGUUGCAAAAGAGGAGAACGGUGAUGAAGCUUGUUGAGCUCAAAGAAUAUCGAGCCCUUUUCUUCCUUAGCUUAAUAAAUAGAGGAAGAUCUAAUGUUUUAUAUUAACAGUGUUAGUUUUGUAUUUGUUUGGGAUGCUUUAUAUAUAAUGUAUCUAAUGUUUUCACUGUUUGAUGUUCAAUUGAACAUGGUAAAUGUGAAAUAUUGAUGGUUUUGCAGCUAAACUUAUUAUGUCUUGUUCUCUUCCAUGUUCUAUGUUAUAACUUCGAAGUCGAGCCAUAGAAAAGUUUAGUAACUGAUGUUUUCGUCUGUUUAGUGUUAUAACUUAGUAUGGUUGAAACAGAAUAAGGCCAUAUCUCUUUCCUUUUUUUCUCCUUCUUUGUUUCAUCUGAGUGAAUAUAAUUGCUAAUUAUGGUUGUAUUCUGUUUCAUUUCAGCAAAAAUAUCAUCUACUGCUGCUGAAUUUUGCUUUGUAUGAACAGAAGCACAAGGUACAUUACUUUAUGUAUGAAUAGGAGAAUUUCUGUAUCCUUUAAUUUAUUUUUUUUAUUUUAUCUGAGAACAGGCCAUGUUUUAUAAUGUGAGCAUCUUGAAUUUGCAUACCAUGGGUUGAAUGGUGGGGAACAUAACUUUAUGGUGAUUAUUAUAUCAUGCAGCGAAAGGCUAAUAAUGCUAAUAAUGCUAGUUUAUCUGGAUAACAAUGCGAAAUGGAGAGAGCUUAAAAUCUUCUGUUGUUGUAGAUUGUUUAAUUUAUAUAAUUUAUUAUUUUUUUUCUUUUGUUUGUUGCAGAAAAUGAAUUGCUGUUGAAAUAGGAGCUGAAGUAUUUUUUUUAUCGUUUUUAAGUAUUUUCUAUUUUCAAAGUAGAGAGAGGCAGGAAUGAUGUUGAACUGUAUAUCGAAUAUUAUUACUCUAUUGCUUUUAAAUUGAUUUUGCUAUUAUUUUGUUUUUAAGCUGUUGUGGAUCAGAAGACAAUUAGCCUUUUAAAUUGUUGUUAAAAGAAUAAUUUUAUUUACUUUAAUAUUUUGUUUGUUAUUUUGUAUAUGUUCUGUUUAUAAAAUAUAAGCUGUAUAUUUUUAUAUUUAGUUUAUUAUCUUUUUAUUAUUGGUGGCCAUUUAUUGCACAGUUGGUGGCGACAAAAAGUUGCCUUUUUAUUUUUAACUAAGGUGGCGACUGUGAUGGUUGCCACUUAAAGUAAAUAUUUGGUGGCGAAAAUGUAUUGCCACCUUAUCUCCAUGAAAGGUGGCGACUAAGAAGGGCCACUAAAAAGUUAUAUUUGAUGGCAACAAAAUGUCGCCACGCUAUCUUUAAUAAGGUGGCGACUAAUAGUUGCCACUAAAAGUUAUAUUUGGUGGCAAUAAAAUGUCGCCACGUUACCUAUAAUAAGGUGGCAACUAACAAUGGCCACUAAAAGUCAUAUUUCGUGGCGAUAAAAGGUCGUCACGCUAUUUUCAAAAAGGUGGCGAUUUUUCACGCUUCGCCACAAUUUCAUUUAGCGGCAACACUUUCAGUGGCAGCUUGUGGCGACUUUAAAAGUCGCCAUCUUUUGAAAAUGUGGCAACUUUUUAUAUAUAUAGUGGCGACAUUUGUCGCCACCAAUAUAUAAUAUUCUUGUAGUGAGCUAUUAUGCAAUCCUACAAUGCAACAUGAAGAGAUGAGAUUAAAUGCAAUCUAAGACAUAGAAAGGAGUCCGAAAGCUUCGAGAUGGCACCCCCCACCUUUAAUCGAUGUAGAGGCUUUGGAUAUUCAUCUCGGUGAACUUAACGAAAAGGCUUUAGCCUUCUUUGCCCAAAUCAACACUAACCCGGCCCUAUUUUGCCGAGAACUUCCCGCCGGCUCGCCGAAUGCCAAAACCGACUUCGCCCCCACGAUUCGUGACCUAACAAUAGGGUUUCCAAGGCUUCAAAUAAGAUCAAUCUCAUACUUUCACAAAAACCCCAUCUUGGAGCCCUAGGUUUGCACAUAUAACAAACCACCCAACAAAUCCCUAGAUUCAUGGGAUUGAUCUACUUAGAAGCAUGCUUAGGGUUCAUUUGACCCAUUCCAAUGCAUAAAAACCCAAAACUCCAAUGUUUAGAAGCUAGGGUUUAGUAGCUUACCUCAAGAGCUACACCAAUGGGAAGAGGAGAGGGAGAUGAAGGUGCUCAAAGCCUUCCCCUUGAUCUCUUUCUUCUUCUUCUUCUUGUUCUUCCUCUUCUUUUCCUUCCUCUCCUUCUUGUUCUCCUCCUUGUUCUUUCCUUUCUAGAGAGAGAGAGCAAGAGAGAAAGAGAGAUAGAGAGGAAAUAAGAUGAGUGGGAGGGAGAGAGAGAGAGGGCUCAGCCCACUCUAAUAAAGGCCAUUUUGCAUAAAAACCCCUCAACUUUUCAUCCAUUGCACAGCCCUCACUGGGCAGAAUUCGCUCGGAGGGACCGGUCCCCCGACUUGGGACCGGUCCCCGAGGGCCUCCCUCGGGUGCACGCGUUCGGGAACCGUUCUCUCCCCGGGAGACCGGUCCUCGGGAGACGGGUCCUCACCUGAGAGACCGGUCCCCGAGAGCUCGAUUUUCAGGACUUAGCCAAUUUUUGGCAUUUCUCGCUAGGACCACGUUCGGGAACCGGUCCCUCCCUACCAGGGACCGGUUGCACCAAGCAACCCCACUACACUCAGCCGAGAGAACCGGUCUCUCACCUCCAGAGACCGGUCCCCGAGAGUAAUCUCAGCCCAAUGAUGCAGUUUGCACCAUUUGCUCUCGCAGACUCAACUCCAAAGCACUUUUUGUAUUUUGGACAUUUCCAACUCCCACAAAGGGUAUUCUAUCGACAAUCAGUCGAUCCUGGAUGAAGUACAAUCCUCGGAUUUCGAGAAUUCACUUUCUUACAGACCAGUUCCCGAACAUGGUCUGCGCGGGUUUGCUCUCGGGGACCGGUCCUUGGUAGGGAGAGACCGGUCCCAUCGGCUGGUGGUUGCGGCGACACGUGAUGCAACCGGUCCCCGGGCUAGAGGGACCGGUUCCCGAAUGCGUAGAUUUGGGGAGGUCCUGAUGGACCGAUCCCUGGCAGGGAGAGACUGGUCCCCGUAGCCUGAAAUUGCCCAAGAUAGGCUGUGUCAUGAAGGCAAAGUUGAGGGAUUUUUAUGCAAUUGUAGCAUGAGUAGAGGCUAUUUGAGAGUAUGCUCUCUCUCUCGUUUUCUCUCCCAAAACACAAACCUAAAGCCUCUCUCUCUCUCUAAUCUCUCUUCCUCUCUUAGAAGGUGAAGAAGAAAAGGGAUAUAGAUGAGAAGCAAGCAAGGAAAGGGAUCUUCAUCUUCUUCUUCUUCCUCUACACCUUGGAGCUAGCUUUUGGAGGUAAGCUUAAAGCUCAAUCAUGGUAAACUUCUAGGGUUUGGACUUUAUACUCUAGAAUUGGUAUAAAUAGAACCCUAGCAUGCUAAAGAGAUGCUUUAUGCAUGAGUUUGAGGAUUUAGAGUUUGAUUCUUGCAUGAUUGCAAGUUAGGGCUCCAAAAAUGGGGUUUUGUCAUUUGUAGGGUAUUGAUCUAAAUUGAUCAAGUGUAAAUCUAAUUGCUAGGUGUUUAAACUCAUAGGCGAAGACGGUUCGACGAUUCGUCGAGCGAGUUCAAAGUUACGAGAAAAAAGGGGUCUUCCGAGUUUCGUUUCCGCCUAGGAGGCCGAGACGACGUCGUAAAAUCGGCGAACUUCAUUCCUAGAGCUGUGACAACGCCAGAAGGUGGGUGGUGUCAUCCCGAAGCAACCGGGCUCCUCUUUAUGUCUUAGUGCAUUUUAAAUCUUGCAUCUCUUGCAUAUAUGCAUUGUAGGAUAAAUGUGCAUUUUCAUUUCCUUAUGCUUUCCUAGAUGAUAUCAUAGUGUGAGUUGAAUGCUUGAUAUAGUGGAUAGAUAAGGAUUGGGUCGAGACAUUGAAUCCUAUAGUGCUGAGAUAAGAGAUGGACUUGAUGGUUGAUAAGACAUAACUAGUGGCAUGUAAAUAACAAUGACAACAAAAUGAGUGGCAUAUAACCUAGUGUAAAAAAAUGACACUUGACAUGUGAACUUAGGGAUAGGUGGAUUUCCUAGUGAUGAGUCAUUGAAUAAGAACUUAGUGUAGUUAAACACUUGCAUAUGGACAUUGGGAUAGGUGGAUUCCCGAGUGACUGUUAGCCCUAGUGGAUAGGGUAUCCUCGAGUUGAGAGGAUUGGAUCAUACUCACUGUCUGUUCAGAGCUUGUGGUGGUCGCUCCACACAAGCGUGCACUCUGAAGUUUUGUCACAUGAGGGAUAGCCUUAUGGGGUCCCUGGGAUAGCCUUAUGGGGUCUCGCAGACGGUCUCGGGUUUGUGAACGAGUUGAGUUUCCUUACCACGAGAUGCAUGUGAGUCGUGGGCGAACCUCAGGGUUGGCCAAGGAUUGGGUAAGUUAAGAAAAUUGAUGAACAAGUAAAUAACAUUACUUCUUGGACAUAGUGGCAUGUUAGUUGAUUACUUUAUUUAUCACAUUGUGCAUGCAUACAUUGGAUAUGAUUUGGGCAUGAUAGUAUAGCUUUCUUACUAUGUCAUUACUGCUUUCACAUAUCUAUCUGUCUAUCUAUCUGCUUGUGCCCACUUGGACCUAGUGGGGAGAUCGGCGGAGUUGGCGGCCGAACCCACUGGGAACUAUGGAUAAUAAUUCUCACCCCACUUUGUUGCAGAGCCGAGUACGAGUGCUCCGGGCGAGGAUCGCGGUAAGGGCAUAGCGCCCUAGCAUUAGUAUCCCUCCAGUUGCAUUAGAGGUACCUACUUAUAUGAGAGUAGAUGAUGUAUAGGUUGUGAGAUGCAUUUUGGAGAGAUGUGAAUAAACCUAUAUCUAUAUUUUGGAUGAAAUGAGAAUGUAAAUUGUAUAAAUGUAUAAAUCAUGAUGUAAUAGAUAGAACUCUCUUUUACGCACUUGUAUAGAUACUUGUGUUACUUGCUCUUGUUGUUAUGCACUUGUGGUGCUUCUAUUGUCGUUGUAUGGAUCAUAUAUGUAUUGAAUUGUUCCUGGGCGAAUUCUUGUACAUGAUCCCGUGCUUGAGCCUUGGGCGGACAGGGGAGGCGCUGUCCGUUCGGCGUUUGUUCGACGUGCCCGAACUGGACCAAAUGGGUAGCGGUCUCGGGGUGUGACACGGUUUCUCACACCCCAUUCCCCCUGGUGACAGGGACGAGGAGUUGGAUUUUGGGUUCGACGGGAGGACGAUCUAGCUAGUCUAGUAUAGCAACCGUCACCCCGGUUACUUUCAUUUCGGUACUUAGUAAUUUUAAUAAUAAAUGGUUCAGUUAGAUGAUCAUAUUGAUGUUUGAAUAUUCGUGAAUUGGUUUUAGUGGAUGAUUUACUAUGAUGCAUGUGUCACGCCCCGGGACCGGCGGAGGCCCUCCCGGUAGCGUGCCCAGACCUGCAAGAGAUAGAACAAAUAAGGAAGUGAAAUAACUAGCAACUAAUGAUAUCAACUAAUGAAAUAACUAGCAACAAAUAAGGCGUCUACAACAAAAGCGGAAGUGAAGUAAGAGAUAGAACAAAUAAGGAAGUGAAAUAACUAGCAACUAAUGAUAUCAGAGCGAGUAUAGUUCUAACAUCUAUACCAAAGUACAGAAGUAAAGCUAGACAAUAAAAGGAGUCAUAAGUAGUACAAUAUCUGUCUCUAGUACAAAAAUGGUGGUCUCUAGUACACUGGUAAACUCCUCAACCUCUCGCAAAAAAGAAAUAUAAAUCGAGAGGUGGACCACCUAGCAACUCGUCCUCGAAGGAAGCUAGCUCGAAGCAACUCCCUUCCCGCGAUCCCUGGCCUCACCCUACGCGGAAGACUCUGAAAAACAUCGAGAAAAGAGGGCGUGAGAACUAUAAUUUAUAGUUCCCAGUGGGCAAUUACUGACCUUAGCUCUAUGCACCAUUAGGCCCCGAAAGAAAAGGGUAAGUACAAUAAUAAUAGCAAUAAUGACUGCGAUAUAAAGGCGUAAUUAAAAUGCUAAAUUACCAAACUCAAGUAUAAACGAUGUCAUGGUGAUGUACAUCUACGAUAUCCAAAUAGUAUGUCAUUAACCUUUAUGAAUACAUUAUGCAUAAGUUCUGUCAUGGCAACCAAGUAUGCUCUAAUGCAAAAGGAGACUAUCAAGUAUACUACAUGUCUCAACCCUAUGCUAUAAGCAUGUAAAUGUAAUCCAACUACUAAACCUACCUAGUAGUGAUUGUUCAUAUACAACACCGUGUCGAUUUCCAUUUCCAAUUAAGGACCUACCAAAGGUAGUCCAGCUUGUGCCGCCUAAGUGCCUGUGGUAGCCCAACAUUCCUACUCUUGGAAUGUGUCUGUCCCACUCGACCCCGUAGGCUUCUCAAUACCGCACGAGCGAACAUAAGUCGCUAGGCUAACUCCGGAGUGCCGGCUUGUGGGGAGCGACCCUCACAAGCAUGUGCGAAUAAGCACAAAUGGCAAGAAAGCAUGGUGAUGCCUUACAAGUGGAUUUCCGGAUCGGUUAUCGUUCCUUGCUUCUGUAGAUGUUCUUUUCUAGAAAAAUAAAGCUUAUCAGGAUUUGGCGAGCCUUUAGCUUUUUGUUUUUUUUUUUUGUGUUGACGAGGUUACUUGAUAUCGUGAGCUGCUGGUCGCGGGCUCGGCUACAUCCUUUUUGUGAGGUUGAGGAUGUGCAAAGUACUAUGUAAACCCCACUGAGGCGCAGGAUAAGUGCGUUAAUGUAUUAUCUGAUAUGUAUGUCGUUGUGAUUAAGAAGUAUUCAACAGCUGAAGCAGAGAUUCGACUGACUUGCUCCGACCUAACCCUUGCAAUGCUGGAGCAGGAUAUGUAUUUUAGUGAUGCUUCUUUAAUGGAUUGGCUGUGUCCUUGAUACAGGACGGGAAGGUGAUCGGUAUGCUUCUCGCGCAGUUAAGAGUAUGAAAGGAAUUUCAUUACUCACCGACUUGGAGUUGGGGUCCGUAAUCUUUGAUAAAAGCUAUUAGCGCAUUAGUUUAUGGGGCGGAGCGGGUUGUGAAGUAUGAUCGAUUCAAAGAGCUAAAGUAUUAUUUCACUCAGAAGGAGUUGAAAACUUGAGGCAGCGGCGCAUGUGGUUAGAGCUACUCAAGGAUUAUGAUUUGAUCGGUUCUUCUACCACCUCGGCAAGGCUAAACUGUGGUGGGUGGAUCGCUAAUGUGGCGAAAUCGACGGAAACUAGCUGUGCUUAUAGGUCACUCAAUCCGCCGUUGAAUCGAGCAAGAAUGAACAGUUGGAGUUGAGGGGUGACUCCUGAUACACCUUUGAGUUGAUUGCUUUGGUGGUGCAACCUACUCCUUUUUGGAUAGAAUUCAAGAAAGCAAGCUCAACAUGUGGAGUUGGCAAAGGCUUAGAGCUAAAAUGUUUGAGGUUGCACUGGUGACUUGUGGACCGUGAUGGAUUGAUCUUUCCCGCGAACGGUGUGUGUAAGUGGUGGAUUGGUAUUAAAGAAGAUUAUUCUUCAAGAUAGCACAACCGUGCAACCUUAUGCGAUCAUCCGGGAGUCACGAAGAUGUCAAGGAGUGAGGUAACUUUAUUGUGCUGCCGGAAUGAAAAGGAUGUGGUAAAGUUUGUUCUAGAUGUCUAACUUGCACAGGUGAAGGAGCUGGGCAUCGUAGUCUCGCGGGGAAAUUGCAGAGUCUUACCGAUUCCAAGUUGUGGAAGCUGGGCAGAAGAUAAUCGUGGACUUCGUAUGGGAUUGUCUCGCUCAUGGUCCGGGCAUGAUUAUAUUUUGGGUAAUGUGACUAAGUGGACGAAAAUUUAGCCAUUUCAUACCUAUUAACACUACUUGGACUGGUGAGGAGCUCGCAAGUAUAGUUUUGAUUUGAGAUUGUGUGAUUGGAGACGGGGUACUGUAUUCUAUUAGUUUUGGAUCGAGAUCAUUUUGUACCAUUUAUUGAGGAGCUAAAGGAUGCUUGGCCGCGUUGGAUUCAGUACAGCUUUUCAACCCUCAGAUGUGACGGGUACGUCAAGCGAGCUAUACAGACUGUUAGGAUAUGCUUGCGGCCUGAUGGUAUCGACUUUCAUAUGGAGGAUGGUCGAGCAUCUACGCGAUUGGCGGAGUUUGCGUUGAUAAUAAUGUUAUCAAGAAAGUAAUAAGAUGGCACCUUUGAGCACUUUAUGGAUCGGAAGUUAGAUCGCCCCUGUCUUGGAGUUGAAGUGUUGGCGAGCAGAUUGCUUUUAGGCCCCUGAUGUGUCAGAAGUAGAGGGACAAGGUCGGCAUGCGCUGCGAGCGAACUGUUUGAUCAGCCCAGAGUAGGCAAAUAAGAUUUAUGCUGACCAGCGUGACGAGACUUGGAGUUUCAGAUUGGUGAUCAUGGUCUUCUUGAAAGUCUCGCAACCAAAGAGAUUUAGAAGAUUGUUUCGGGUAAGUUGAGCACCCGAUACUCGGACGUAUGAGGUUUUGGAACGUGUAGGCCGGUAGCUAUAGAGACUGCUUCCAACCAGAAACAAAACUCGUUAAUUCGGGGUGUACACAGAUGUUUUUCACGUAUCGAUCCUCCGAAGUACAUCACCAGAUCCGGCUACAUGUGUUGGUCGCUACAGAUUCUUUGGAACUGAGGGAACGAACUUUGAGCUUUGAAAGCAACGUUUGAGGAUUUGGGCAUCGCGAGGUGAAGAGGUUGCGAACAGUGAGAUUUCCUAGUGAAGGUGAUUUGGAGCAACCACGAUGAUACAGAGACACUUGGGAGUUGGAUAGCGCGCGGCAGAGCGCUAUCCUAUUCUUUUUCAGCAUGGAGGCUUUGAGAUAAUUUGUUUUUGAGUUUCGCGAGAAACAUCCUUUUUAGGAGGGGGUGAUGUAACUAACAUCUGGACCUAUGAAAAUUGUGAGGUUUGCGAGUUGUUUGAAAGGGCGUUUCUAGUUUUUCGCAGGUUGUUUGGUGAUCAUAUGACAGUGGUUCCGACCUAUGGCCCGUAUACGCGAGAUUUGUAGUGUUUUUGUAGCACUAAGGUCCCAAGAGAUGGACUUAGGCUUUAUCUUUCGGAUUGCACUACUGCACACACGUGAAACCAGUCUGACUAUCGAUGGCUGUAUACGUACAGAUUUUGUACCGUACAGUUGCUGGUUGUACCGUACACUUGUGCAAAGAAUUUCAAACAACCUGAGGCUCGGGUUUGCCAUUUGGGAUUUAGUACUGGUACACCUUUUUCUGUACCGGUACACUUUGGCGAAUCUGAACAGUCAAACUGCAGUGGGGGUGUUUGGUCGAUUGUGAGGCUUCUAUAUUUAUCACCGACUGCCCUAAUGGCUGUUCCUUGGAGUUGGAACCCGCAGGGAGUAAAGGCUGAGGAGCUUUCCUAGCAUUCCGAUUUACAUUUCUUUUGAUAUUUUGCUUGGAUUUUCAAGAGAUUAACCACCUCUUUACUCCUUUUUGGUGUGUUGGAGGGCUUUCCCCAACCAUUGGUAGAGGCUUGGAGCUUGGACUGGGGCUUGCUUGAGGGAAGAUACCUUAGAAUCUGUGAGGAUAUUUGAUCCUUGUUUGAAGCUUACUAGAGGUAGCAUGCUUGUUCUUUCCCUCUAUUUGUGGUUUUUGGAGAGUUCCUUGGGCAUGCAAACCUAGAGAUGGAACUAGGUUUAUUUGGAGCUUUUUUGAUUUAGAAGCUUUGAGCUAUCUAUUGGAAUUAGAACUUGAUUAUAGGUUGCUUUGGAAGGGAUUUAGCUGUCCAUUUGGAAUUUUAAAGGGAUUUCUACACUAUAGGUUGAGAUUAAUUUGCCCACGUUUGCUAUAUAUGGUAUAAGUGUUUGAGCCUAGAGCUUUAUCGUAAUGAUUUGCAUCUCUUCUCUUGUGAUUUAGGGUACUAAUGAGAUUGUGGACAACUCCGUUCGGCGAAAGGGUGACAAGGAGUUAUUAGGGUGCUCGCUGUUUGGACCUCCAUAAAAAUGAGAAAUCUCAAUUUUUGUGCGAUUUAUGUAUCAAAAUGGAAAAGUACUUCAUUUUUCCAUCGUUAGAUUAUUUAUUUAUGAAUUUUAUGAAUGCAAAUGGCUUAUGUAUGUAUACAAACAAAUGGAUAAUGUAUGCAUUUUCAUGUUAGAUGUAUUAUUAUGUGAAUUUUAGAAAUCUAACAUUGCUUAUGUUGUAUACAACAUUAUUUGGACGCUCUAUGAGUAAGAGAGCUUGCGCAUAUACUUAUGCAUGGAGUUUAGCAUCGUAUUUGGGACUUAGCAUUGUGUUUCAUAUAGUGAAAUGACAAUGAUUAUAUAUAUAACUUGGACAUAAUGAGGAACGUAGCAUGAGUGGCUUGGAACUUGACUAUAUGUGGAACUUAGUAAACUAAUGUAAUAAAGAAACAUGAAGCUUGGGGUAUUCAUGUGAACUUUAGUAAGUCAUAAUGUCUCAAGAAGAGAACUUGAGCUUGGGCUUUUGUGAACUAGUAGAUAAUGUCAUAAAGGGCGCAUUAGAUAGAGUGGUUUUGAAUAUAGAUAAGUUAAAAAAUGUCAUAACAAGGCGUAUUAGCUUGAGUAUGUUGUGGACUUAGUAAAUCUAUAUGUCAUAGUGGCAUAUUGUUUGACGAGAUUGGGCAUAGUAAGAUGUAAUGCAUAAAGGGCAUUGGAUAAUAAUGAUGGUAAACCUUCACAUUAGAAUCAUUGGACUAGACCGAUGGUUGCUUGCUAGUGAUUGUUACAUGCUUAGAGAUGAUGAUUGGCAUUUGAGACAGAUGACCACACUCAAAAUCCCUUAAUAACGGGGGACUCGAACCUCCCUAGGGACCGUCAACUGGUGGGACUUUACCACGCCCAGUGGUGACCAACUCCGGAGCGCACCGCUCGAGGGGGAGCGACCUCCCUCAAGCCAAGACGAAAGGUGAGUAUCGAUCUAAUCCUCAACUUGAGGACUCAUAGCCAUUAGUCAUAAUGCCAAUAUCACAAUAGGUCUCUACCUAUUUAUUCUUGCCACUCUCAAGGCUUUAUCUUCGACCAUGACAUUAUGGGUCAAACUAUAUCCAACGGUCAUCUCUCAAUGCAAUUCUUAUUUCUAUGUCAAUGACACCCUUGUUUACUAAUUGUCCAAGUCCAUUCUUACAUUCACACAACUUGAGGGUCCAAUCACACAUGUCUAUUUUGGUUUAAUCAUUCUCUAUGUUCAACUACGUUAGAAGCAUACAAAUGAAGUCAAACCAAGUUCCACAUGAAGCUACCCUACUAUGCAUGAAUGGAUAUAUAUGUAUAUAUGCUCAAGAAUAGAGAAAACAGACAUAGAGGGGAAUCCAACGAUUCCGGCGUGCACCCCCCACCUCUAUUGGUUGUGUGGGUGUAGAUUAUGAAAGCUCCCGCACUUUACGAAAGCCGAUUCCGCGCCCUAUAAUCAAAAUAGUGCCAUAUUAGGCCUUUUUGUACAUGGACUAUGUUCUAACAUUUUCGAAACGUUAAACGAAGUUGUCCCACGCGUUUAGGACACCCCCAAUUAGGUUUCCACGGGGUCAAUUUAUCUCCGAAAAAUCCUAGGGCAAAAGCCCCAAAUUCAAGCCCUAAUAUUGCCAUUUAGGGUUUUCCCAUGAAUCGAUCCCAAUCCUAAGCAAAGAAUAGCAUAGGAUCAUCUAAGAAGCACUCUAGUGAGGUUUCUAGACCUUUGGUACCAACCCUAGGGCUCCAAACAUCAUCUCCAAGGAUUCACCAUGAGAGCACCUUGAGCUCUCAUGGGUUCCAUGGUAUCCAUGGCUCAAAAGAGCUUCUAAUACCUCUAAGGAGCACAAAGCUCCAAUUCCUUAAGUUAAAACCCAAACCCUAGAGGGAAACCUCACAAAACUUACCUCUAGUCCAAGCUCCACCAAGAUUCUUCUUGUCGGAGAGCUCCUAGAACCUCCAAAGCCUCCAAAUCCACCUUCUUCUCCAAGCUCUUCUUCUUCUUCUCCAAGUUCUAGAGGAGUUCUAGAGAGAGAAAGAGAGAAAAUGAGAGAGGAGGAGAGAAAUGGCUGUGGGAGAGAGGGGUUGGGCCAUAUAUAGUGUUGUAACAAUUGCACUUAAGCCCCUCUACUUGUUUCCACUUGAACUGCCCAGACUGGGCACUUUUCGCCUUCGGGGACCGGUCUCCCCGACCAGGGACCGGUUCCCGAACGGGGGUUUUCCAGGACUUAGCCAAAUUUUCGAGUUUUUCGGCUGUUGCGCAGCGAGGGACCGGUCUGCCCGUCAGGGACCGGUCUCCCGAGGACCGGUCUCACCACCAGGGACCGGAUGCCUCAGGAUUUCCUGGCAGGCUACGCGUACGGGGACCGGUCUCUCCUUCAGGGACCGGUCCCCGAGAGCUCAAAAAUCUGGGACUUAGCCAGAUUUCCAGAUUUGCUCUCCGGGUCCCUUUUUGCUCCAUUUAUGAACUCCAAUGCACUUAGGGUCCACCGUAACUCAUUCAAUUCCGCGUUCCGAUCGUUUUGACGGAACUCGGCACGACUUACGAGGGAUGUGGUAUGUUACAUAGGUGAUAGAUACAAUCUAGAUAGAUCCUUGGGCUCCUCAAAACUUUCAAUUGGUAUCAGAGCGGGAUCUAGAUAAAUUGUUAUCUAAUGGCCGAAGGUGGUAAUAUUAAUCGACCUCCGCUCUUCGACGGCACGAAUUAUGCCUAUUGGAAAGUUCGCAUGAGAGCUUUUCUAAUUGCUAUCGAUGAGCGGGUUUGGCAAUCAAUUGAAUUUGGGUGGAAACAUCCGAUAGAAAAAGUCGAUAAUGUUGAAAAGCCAAAACCACGGAACAAGUGGACAAAAGAAGAAAACGAGACAUCUUCGUUUAACGGCAAGGGCAUAAACGCUUUAUUUAAUACAUUGUCACAAACGGAGUUUACUCGCGUUUCGGCGUGUGAGACCGCCAAGAAAAUUUGGGACACUCUACAAAUUACACAUGAAGGUAUUAGUUUAGUAAAAAUUCAAAAGCUCCAAAUGUUGACUAGUCAAUUUGAUUCUAUUUGUAUGGAGGAGCAUGAAUCUUUUACCGAUUACUACACUAGGCUUCAAGAUAUUAUUAAUAUAUGUGCUAAUUUGGGAGAGAAGAUCCCGGAUGCUAAAGUUGUGCGAAAGAUUCUUCGAACUCUCCCAGAACGUUUUCGGGCUAAAGUAGCCGCGAUCGAAACGGUCAAGCAUUCGGACGAGAUGAAGGUCGAAGAAUUAGUAGGUGCUUUGCAAACUUAUGAAAUGACCUUUCCUACUAAUCAAUCUUCUUCCAAGUCUUCUUCUAAAAGCACAGGUGUUGCAUUGAAAUCUACAAAGGAGAAGGACGAAGACUCGAGUUCCGAUGAUGAUUUAUCAAUUGCGGACUUUGAACAACAAUUGGCGCUUCUUACGAAGAAGUUUCGUCGAAAUUUCCGGAACAAGAAUAGAUUGGACAAGGCUUCAUCAUCUAAGCGACAAUCUUUGUCUAAAUCAUCUUCAUCUUUAAAGUCUAAGGAUAAAAAUCGUGCAAAGUCCUCAAAGGACAAGGAUGUAUUUGAAGGCGAGAUCCAAUGCUUCAAGUGCAAAGACUACGGCCACAUUGCGACGGAUUGUCCUUCAAAGAAGACGUUUAGACAAAAGGCUAUGCAAGCAAAGACGUAUGAUGAUUCAACAUCAAGUGAAUCAUCAUCAAGUGACGAUGAUUCACUUGAUGGAUUUUGAAAUUUUAUAAUAUAUUAUUUUCAUUAUAAUGAUUUUUGGAGUAAAAUCUUUAAUUUAUAUGAAACUAAUUUAAUUUGAUGGAUUUUUAAAUUCAUAUUUUCGAAAUCUGGCAAAGUGUACCGGUACAAAAUCCCGUGUACCGGUACAAAUCACUGUAGCCGCGGAAAUAUAACCGGUUACAGAGAUUUAUUUCUCACUCUAAUCUAAACCAAAUUUCGCUCUUCUCUCUCUAAAAAUCCCUGGUGCCUUCCUCUUCCAGAUCUACACGUUUUUCCCUAAAAAUCUGUGAGUAUUUCACUUGGAUUUAACCGUUUCAUCGCGUUCAUGUUUAUUUUUUUUGAAAAUUUCGUGUUCAUGCAUAGAUCUAUGUUUUUGAUCGUUUUUUAUGCAAUUUUUUGCUGUAGAUCAGUGCUUAAGGACAUUAUCUUGCUCUAGAACACUUGAAUCACAUCUAAACACGUUAUUUUUCGCUGAUCCAUGUUCUAAGCUUCAUUUUUCAUNNNNNNNNNNNNNNNNNNNNNNNNNNNNNNNNNNNNNNNNNNNNNNNNNNNNNNNNNNNNNNNNNNNNNNNNNNNNNNNNNNNNNNNNNNNNNNNNNNNNCGACACUCUAUAGUCCUAGGUCCAAGAUCUCACUUUUCAUCUGACCAAAAGAUCCAACUGACAAUACCAAAUAAGCUAGACAAUUUUGUCUCCUCAAACUUAAUCCGGUACCAACAGAUCACCAAAUGUUCUUGCAAGUCCAUCACUUGAUGCACAAGUCGCCAAUCGCACCAUGCGAUACCAACCAUCGGUGAUACCCAACACCUGUCUCCACAAGACCCUGUCGCUGUCGUCCUACCAUGGACCCUAGCGAUCGAUGUCCCGAGCAAUACCAAAUGCCUGUCUCAUUGAGACCUAGGCGCCCCUGUCAUCAAAUGACCGGACAAGCAUGCUAACCCAAGGUUUGCACGAUAAGCCAAGUCGCAAACCUUAUUCGCUAUCACAUAUGGUGACAAUCAAAGCCGACAACCAGGCUCAAGUCACUCUACAAUUGUGAUUCCAAAUCUCACGACGACAAACCAAGACUACUAACCGAACAAACUUUUAAACUGUGGGAAGCACAACUAAAGAGCUACGAACACCCAGACUCGAACUAGAGUCAAAACCCUUUUAUCAGUGACGAUAAGUCCACUGUGCAAAGCCUGCCAAGGAAUAACCCAAGUCUCGCUACGUAGUCAAAGAUGACUAUCACUCGAGCUUUUCCCACAAAACAGUCUAGAGAACACAUCGACCCAAUCCAGAAGUCCCAAACAGGGUAAAUGGUAUUUCGUCCCUCUUUCGACAGUAUAUUGUCUGCAGCCAAUAUACUUAUCAAAAGAAAAGCGAAAUAUCCGAAAAUCCACUACCAACAACGAGUUGGAAGUGUGACACGUCGAAGUAUCAAGCCACCUGAUACCUCUUCACUGAACCAGAAGCUCACAACCAAUACUAUCGAAACAUCGACUUUACAAGUCGACAUUCGAAAUUAGAAUGACCCUGGAAUAUCUCGAAUCUAGACGAAACCUAUUACCAACUACAACUAACCCACAACACACCAAUUUAGGUGUUAGAAUAAUCGCAUACGAUGUAUGCCUUAACGAAAACUUGACACCAAUCUGUGUCAAUCUGACCCUAGUAGGAAGAAUGAACGAGGUAAAGGUCGAAAGAUCCGAACCGCUGAUUCCAAUCAGCAAUCAAGGAGGAUAGGUAGGCAUCGCAACCCUACCCAAAGGUCUGCGGAAGCAACACUAACAAUGCAGUCGCUGAAACGACCGCUAUCCAAACCCUGGGCUACACCCUAGUAGCCCCACUGAAGUCGCGACCAUAACUGGUCCAAGCACCGUCUCCGUAGAGACACUCGCAACAGCUCUCGUGUCCUAAGUAGAGAGAGUGGCCUGGGCGUCGGCAAUUAUGACACUCGCCUAGGCCCGAAGAUCACCUAGCCCUUCAAGGCCCACCUGACAGGAGUGGCAACAUCUGGGGAACGUCGCCCUACCACUCGAUGUCCGAAUAAGUACACCGCCACUACUCCCGAUUUAGACACCAGCUUGUGCGAAUCGUAACACAUACAGAAACCAUGCACUUCGAGUUUACCGACUCGAAUGCAAUCCUGGACACAAGUCCAAACCCCGCACUCACGUGCCUAUACACCGUAGGUCUUCCUAAGGAUCAACCUAACCAAUGGUUCAGUUUCUUUGGUUCAGUUCAUUUACUUUUCAAAACAACCUGUGAAUGGUGUUGUGGUUGUAACCUGGCUCUGAUACCACUUUAAUCUGUCACGCCCCGGGGUCCUUUUAUUUGUUCAAAAGCACAGCGGAAAAUUAGCUAUAAAUUUUUUUUUGAAAACCUGACCCCAGAGUGCCAGAUCCGCCACAAACACAGGGAAUCCACUGUUCCCACGGACAGAAUCUCCCCUGUAUUUGCACGGCGUCGCACAAGUACAACAGAGUAUAGAUACACACACAACCACAACCAGAUGAACAAGAGAGAUAACAUUCAUCCAUUCCAUUCACACACACAGAUAUGAUACUUGAGUUAUGAAAACAUUCCACAUCUAUCAGUUAAAAUGUUUCCUACCUGGAAACUGAUUUUGAAAUACUAAAUCCAUAAAAACCACAGAAAAUUUAAUUUGAAAACUGUUCCCCACACGGGAACCAUUCUUUUUCAAAACCAGCUACCACGAGGGGUAGAAAACUGUUUUAUUUCGAGAAAACACCAAUCUUUUAGUUCAUUCCAAAACCCGUUGAAAAUCCAGAUAAUAAAACAGAACUGAACCAUGUAAACCGACUAAGCUAUAUAUAUCAUCAGAAGUAAUAAAGGGUAAUAGCUAAAUCGAAAUAACCUGGGUCGGAAGCUCUAUCGACCGCUACACACGUACCUCACGUCUCGUCCCACUACUCAUCGCCUGCGAUACCUGAAAAAUGGUGGGGGAGGUGAGA